This 66-nucleotide transfer RNA is filed under the name Prunella montanella. RNAcentral's name for it is "tRNA-Ser". Lineage: Eukaryota; Metazoa; Chordata; Aves; Passeriformes; Prunellidae. The record is from RNAcentral.
GAGGGGAGGUCCAACCAACGGGAACUGCUAACUCUCGCAUCUGAGUAUAAAACCUCAGUCCCCUUG